Long non-coding RNA from Dromiciops gliroides (monito del monte), 455 nucleotides. RefSeq lists it as uncharacterized. Lineage: Eukaryota; Metazoa; Chordata; Mammalia; Microbiotheria; Microbiotheriidae. The record is from RefSeq and is a predicted model, not a curated record. The transcript is spliced from 3 exons.
GUGAAGGGGCAACACACUGCACACCUAUGUGAACUUUACAAUACUGUGCAUAUUUUAUCUCCAGAUUUACUUUUCUUAAUUCUGUUUAUUUUCAUGGGAUUGUUUGUGCUUGGUAUGCUGGGACAAAGAGAGAGUCAGACAGAAGACAUAAUUUGCUGAAAGUGAAGACAUUUACUGACAUAGUGAAGCAUCUCCAUAGACCUGAAGCACAUUUCUCCACAAAUCUACCUGGAAUCAGUACAAUGGACAACACAGAAAUCUCCCAAAUGGAGAGGCACACAAGAAGGGAAUACAUAUAGUUAAUGUAAUCAGCGCCUCUGGCAUCAUAAGGUCUUUCCUCUUGGUUUCUUCAUUCUGCUCCUCCUAGAGAGGAGGACUCAUCUUCCUGAGUUCAAAUCUGGCUUCAGACACUAGCUCUGCGACCUUGGGCGAGUCGCUUAACCCUGUUUGCCUCA